Syngnathoides biaculeatus (alligator pipefish) is the source of this 1042-nucleotide long non-coding RNA. RefSeq lists it as uncharacterized. The transcript has 3 exons. The record is from RefSeq and is a predicted model, not a curated record. NCBI's taxonomy places the organism in Eukaryota, Metazoa, Chordata, Actinopteri, Syngnathiformes, Syngnathidae.
AAAAAGUAUUGCGUUACAAUGCUGCGAAUGAAGAAAAAAAACAAUCCAGAUGAUGGCGCCGCACAUCCAUUUGUAAUAAUGGAUAUUUGUAUUUUUUAUAUUUAUAUAUAAUUGACAUAAUACAAGUGUAUUAUGACAUGCAGGAACACAAACGCAGUAAGUAGUCCGUGAAUUUCGUUUUUGGGCCUCGGGCGGAGGUACGCGCCUCCAUUGCACGAGAGAUCGCAGCCGUCGAUAAUGUCAAAUAUUGUACGCACGUGCAUCUAUUAUUACAGUAUUAUUAAAGAGCCCCGGCCAGGUCAAGUUUUAUGUUCCAACAGACAAAGACCAGACCCGAGCAGGGAGUCCGGGCUCCUCGGCGGAGACUGAAACGAGCUCGCCGGAUGACUUAACAACCCAAACUCAUGCGAGGAGAUAAACAGAAACGCAAACAGGGCCGCCUGGAAGGAAAUUGACGGAGGACCGUCCGAGCGGGCCAAGGCAGCAGUCGGUUAUUCCAUAAAUCCCGACUCGAACGAGGCCACGUCGGAACCCAAAUGGGACCCAAAUGGCUCAGCGGCGCCGGAGGUGUUACAGUCAGCAGAGCCUUGGGCGGGAUCAUCGCGCACGAGCAUCUUUCCCAAAGUGAAAAACGACGAUCAGAACGUCCUGCAGAAGGGAGCUUUUGCGUUUCGGCCGUUGGGUCACUUGCAUGUGACAGUACACCAUCACGACAGUCUGCGUAUUCUCCAACACGUCGAAAGCGGCUCAUAAAAACUCUCUGGUGUCGUUUCUGAGCGGUAUCUCCACUCGCCAGCACGCAGCGACGAGUGAGGAGAAUUCUCCCGACGUUGUUUUGUUUGGCUGUCCUUGGCCGCCUCUCGCCGCUCGACGAUAUUGACGGCGCGAGUCCCGCGGAGCUGAUUUACUGCAAAUGUGGCGACGCUUGACAACGCUGCGUUCGAUGAGAACGAAGAAGCCCUUCCAUUUGGACGCCGUGGCCGACCGCUGAUUUUAAAAAGUUUUCCCACGCGUGCAUUUUCCUACUGCGGGCUUCGGUGGA